This 1329-nucleotide ribosomal RNA is filed under the name metagenome. RNAcentral describes it as "bacterial SSU rRNA". It matches the Rfam family "Bacterial small subunit ribosomal RNA", at positions 13 to 1313 of the family's 1533-position model. The record is from RNAcentral.
UUGAUCCCGGCUCAGGACGAACGCUGGCGGCGUGCUUAACACAUGCAAGUCGAACGAGACGAUUGAAAGCUUGCUUUUGAAAGUCGAGUGGCAAACGGGUGAGUAACGUGUAGACAACCUGCCGUAAAGAUGGGGACAACAGUCCGAAAGGACUGCUAAUACCGAAUGUUGUAAAUCUUCCGCAUGGAAGACUUACUAAAGGUGGCCUCUACUUGUAAGCUAUCGCUUUACGAUGGGUCUGCGUCUGAUUAGCUGGUUGGUGGGGUAACGGCCUACCAAGGCGACGAUCAGUAGCCGGUCUGAGAGGAUGAACGGCCACAUUGGAACUGAGACACGGUCCAGACUCCUACGGGAGGCAGCAGUGGGGAAUCUUCCGCAAUGGGCGCAAGCCUGACGGAGCAACGCCGCGUGAGUGAAGAAGGGUUUCGACUCGUAAAGCUCUGUUGUCGGGGACGAACGUGGAGACGGCGAAUAGCCGUUUCCAAUGACGGUACCUGACGAGGAAGCCACGGCUAACUACGUGCCAGCAGCCGCGGUAAUACGUAGGUGGCGAGCGUUGUCCGGAAUUAUUGGGCGUAAAGGGAGCGCAGGCGGGAAGGUAAGUCUAUCUUAAAAGUGCGGGGCUCAACCCCGUGAGGGGAUGGAAACUAUCUUUCUUGAGUGCAGGAGAGGAAAGCGGAAUUCCUAGUGUAGCGGUGAAAUGCGUAGAUAUUAGGAGGAACACCAGUGGCGAAGGCGGCUUUCUGGACUGUAACUGACGCUGAGGCUCGAAAGCGUGGGGAGCGAACAGGAUUAGAUACCCUGGUAGUCCACGCCGUAAACGAUGAAUGCUAGGUGUAGGAGGUAUCGACCCCUUCUGUGCCGGAGUUAACGCAAUAAGCAUUCCGCCUGGGGAGUACGGCCGCAAGGCUGAAACUCAAAGGAAUUGACGGGGGCCCGCACAAGCGGUGGAGUAUGUGGUUUAAUUCGACGCAACGCGAAGAACCUUACCAGGGCUUGACAUUGAGUGAAAGGACAAGAGAUUGUCCCCUCUCUUCGGAGACACGAAAACAGGUGGUGCAUGGCUGUCGUCAGCUCGUGUCGUGAGAUGUUGGGUUAAGUCCCGCAACGAGCGCAACCCCUAUCCUUUGUUGCCAGCACGUUAUGGUGGGAACUCAAAGGAGACUGCCGCGGACAACGCGGAGGAAGGCGGGGAUGACGUCAAGUCAUCAUGCCCCUUAUGUCCUGGGCUACACACGUACUACAAUGGGAUGGACAGAGAGCAGCGAAGCCGCGAGGCCAAGCGAACCCCAUAAACCAUCUCCCAGUUCGGAUUGCAGGCUGCAACCC